Struthio camelus australis is the source of this 732-nucleotide long non-coding RNA. RefSeq lists it as uncharacterized. NCBI's taxonomy places the organism in Eukaryota, Metazoa, Chordata, Aves, Struthioniformes, Struthionidae. The record is from RefSeq and is a predicted model, not a curated record.
UCUGUGCGACGCUUUGCUGGGGAGCGCCAAGUUAGAGAGCUCUUCUCUGCCCUGGCCUGUUGCUGGUCCUCCCACAACUUAAUGAGAUGAGAAACAAGGUUUGCCUAUUGAACUUGGGCUCAAACUGACUGAGGGAAAUAGGAGCUGAAAUGAGCAGCGUUGCACACAGACCAGGAACAUGCAGGCAUGGAACGAGUUGCAAAUUGGCCUCUAUGGAUGCAGGAUGCAAACAGAGCUGCAAGUGGUCUGACUGACAAUAGCAACAUAGCAUGAAGGAACAGAGCGCUGAGUAUGCACGGCCGUGGCUACUGUGUUCCUUUUGAUGAGUGCACUGUAUGCUGGUUGCUUUGCUUUGAGUUUGUUGGGAAAAAAAAUUCAUUAAAAUCCUUUUGCUGCUCCUUUCCUGAGACAGAGCUGGGGAGGGAUGUGGAGGAGCAACGUCCCCUUGUACUAUCUCCCAGAAGUUACUGCCACAGAUGGUGUCUUGGCUGCUGGUUACAGCAUCAGAAAUGGCCGCAGCCUUCUGCAAAAGUAGUUUAAAAAUAGACUUGUUUGGUUAUGCUUGUUCCCUUAAAGGGACACUGUCAGUUUGAUUUAGUUCCAGAAUUUUGGCUUGGUUGCUGUCAGCUAUGCUGUCUCUUCCCAAUUGCCAGCCAAAUUGGCCAGCUUUGCAAUGUAUUUGAUGCUGUUUUACAUAUGGACAAAUAUGCUUUGAACAUAAAGGAAUAAAGU